RNAcentral lists this long non-coding RNA (882 nucleotides) under Hordeum vulgare. RNAcentral's name for it is "long non-coding RNA (HVUL_LNC013552)". Lineage: Eukaryota; Viridiplantae; Streptophyta; Magnoliopsida; Poales; Poaceae. The record is from RNAcentral.
GUAUAAAUAGGCUAGGGACUACCUUAAGGUAAUAUAGACCCUCCGAUCUAGAUCGGACGGUCGAGAAAUAUAGGUUAGAGUCUCCAAUUGUUAAACCGGUGAUGGUUUAGGGUAAAACGAGGUUGAUCCGGAUCCAACGGUCACGUCCGCCCGGUUCGGGUCCCGGAAGGUUUUCGGACUACGUUGCGUGUAGGGUCGAUGCACUGUGCGGAGGGGCUAGGCGGAGAUGAGAGGGAAAACGGGCACCCUGCAACAUAUUUUAAAAACAUCGACAACCAUCCGUCGGUAGACCGAAUACGGUGCCGCUACGGUCGAUCGUUCGGGUACCAGACGGACUCCAAUUGCAACGAAACUUGACAUGCGGCCUACCUAAAUAAAGAUACCACCGCACGUCAAAUCUUACCCCAAUCAGAGAAAGUUUUCAUCACACUUUUAAAAACAAGAUUUGAACGAUGCCGCGGCGCGUGCGUGUGCGUGGGCGGUCGGGCUCAGAACGGACAACGACGAGAACCGGCAACUAACAACGGAUGCAAGUUUGAAAACUGGCGGCAACGGAGAUGCCGAUGCAAUGCUGAUGAUGCGCAUGAUGCGAUGAUGAUGCAACAAAUAAAAAUAGACACACGACGGAAACGGAAAUAAAGGGGAAUCUUCUGGGGCGUCGGCAUCGGGCUGUCACAACUCUCCUACACUACAAGAGGAUCUCGCCUCGAGAUCCAAGAAUGAAAGGGGAGAGGAUGAGAAAGAAUAAGAGGUAAGAACUUAGUCGCUUCUUCGACAAAAGAGUGAAACCAACGAUCCUUGAAGGUUGCAAAGAGAUGAGGAAUGAUAUGAGAAACAAGCAAGGAUUCACGGAAAAUUUCGGCAGCACGUCGGUAGGAAAAU